CUGACCUGUGACAUAUUACUGUCUUAUGUACUCCUUGCUAGCCCCUGCUAGUCUCACUUCUGCCACCAGCUAACCCAGUGCAAUAACUAACCCUCAGGGCCUUCAUGCUUGCUGUUCCACUGGCCACCCCCUGCUCUCUGCUGCUUUCAUGGUGCUUGCCACAAUUCACUCACCUGCUGGUUCCCUUCACUGGAUGUUAAGAGCCUACAGUAGGGGCAGGAGAGAUGGCUGUGGUUAAGAGUACUUGCUGCUCUUCCAGAGGACCUGAGUUCAAUUCCCAGCAACCACAUGAUGGCUCACAACCAUCCCUCUUCUGGACUGCAGGCAUACAUGCAGGCAGAACACUGUAUAUAUAAUGAAUAAAUAAAUCUUUAAAAAAAAAAAAAAGGGCCUACAGCAGCACUGUCUUGUCUCAGGCUGUAUUCACUCCUGGCACCCAGCAUGCACUGGGUCACAGGGCUGGCAUAAAAUUACAGGACACUCUUCAAUUAACUAGAUUAAUUUUCCUUAAUUAACUUUGGGCAAACAUUGCUUUUGAGUAGUAUUAGAGAUUAAUGUUAAGGGGCUGGAGAGAUGGCUCAGUGGUUAAGAGCACUGGCUGCUCUUCCAGAGGUCCUGAGUUCAAUUCCCAGCAACCACAUGAUGGCUCACAAUCAUCUGUAAUGAGAUCUGGUGCCCUCUUCUGGCCUGCAGGCAUACAUGCUGGCAGAACACUGUAUACAUAACAAAUACAUUUUUUAAAAAUUAAAUGUUAAAAUAGGAGUGCCCACCAGUAGGCAAAUGUGACCCUGUAUCAGCCACGCAUACAUCAUCAGCAUGCUCUUGUACCUGCCCAAGAGUAGUGAGUGGUUUGUCUGUGUGCCAUGUAGCUCAGCUUUGGCAAACCCAGCCUCCAAUGAGAACAAAGCCCAGCUGCCUGGGGCACACACAUCUGGAAUCUCAUCACACACUCUGGGCAGAAGACGUGAGUGCUACCUUUGACACUUUAAUUUCAGUGCAUUAUAAAAAAACUUAAUGGGUGUUUUGUCAGCAUAUAUGUCUUUAUACCACUUGGUGCCUGGUUCCCAGGAGGACAUCUGCACUCAGGCUACACACUUACACAAACAUAUAUUUAAAAGAAAAGUCUCUGGCGGGGGGCUGGAGAGAUGGAUCAGAGGUUAAGAUCACUGACUGCUCUUCCAGAGGUCCUGAGUUCAAUUCCCAGCAACCAAAUGGUGGCUCACAACUAUCUAUAAUGGGAUCUGGUGCCCUCUUCUGGUGUGCACAUAUAUACAUAGAAGCAGAAUGCUGUAUACAUAAUAAAUAAAAUCUUUAAAAAAAAAAAAGUCUCUGAGAGUAUGG
Molecule: long non-coding RNA, 1341 nt
Filed under: Cricetulus griseus (Chinese hamster)
Lineage: Eukaryota; Metazoa; Chordata; Mammalia; Rodentia; Cricetidae
Description: lncRNA (ENSCGRG00015042473.1)
Source: RNAcentral